CCAGACUCCUACGGGAGGCAGCAGUGGGGGAUAUUGCACAAUGGGGGAAACCCUGAUGCAGCGACGCCGCGUGGGCGAAGAAGUAUUUCGGUAUGUAAAGCCCUAUCAGCAGGGAAGAAGAAAUGACGGUACCUGAGUAAGAAGCACCGGCUAAAUACGUGCCAGCAGCCGCGGUAAUACGUAGGGGGCAAGCGUUAUCCGGAUUUACUGGGUGUAAAGGGGGCGCAGACGGCAGCGCAAGCCAGGAGUGAAAGCCCGGGGCCCAACCCCGGGACUGCUCUUGGAACUGCGCGGCUGGAGUGCAGGAGGGGCAGGCGGAAUUCCUGGUGUAGCGGUGAAAUGCGUAGAUAUCAGGAGGAACACCGGUGGCGAAGGCGGCCUGCUGGACUGCGACUGACGUUGAGGCCCGAAAGCGUGGGGAGCAAACAGGAUUAGAUACCCUGGUA
RNAcentral lists this ribosomal RNA (446 nucleotides) under uncultured bacterium. RNAcentral describes it as "partial 16S ribosomal RNA". It matches the Rfam family "Bacterial small subunit ribosomal RNA", at positions 331 to 792 of the family's 1533-position model. The record is from RNAcentral.